Molecule: long non-coding RNA, 472 nt
Filed under: Phoenix dactylifera (date palm)
Lineage: Eukaryota; Viridiplantae; Streptophyta; Magnoliopsida; Arecales; Arecaceae
Description: long non-coding RNA (PDAC_LNC000844)
Source: RNAcentral
CGGCACCCCGCCGCACGUGUAGCCCAAGGAAGCCGUCUACCCAAGCUACCUCCACAGGGUUGGUACGCUGCGAGCCGGACAACGACAGAAGAAAAUGGGCGAAAAUAUAUGGAAAGAAUAAGAAAAAAAGAAGGAAAAGAAAGAACUACCCAAAAUAUAAAUGGGCGCAAGAAAAGGUGGGCGGACGAAAACGGGCUAAAGAAAGAAAAAGAAGCAAAAAAGAAGAAAGGGGGCGAGAAAAGAGAGCAGAUUCACAGAGCUCUACCUCUCUCUUAUCACUCUUCUCUGCUCUUCUCGGCACCGCCGGUUCUCCCCUUCUUCUUAACCCCCACUUCCAUACCUCUCCCCAAACCCUAAAUCCCCAAAUCUGAUCAAUUACUACCCCGCCAUCAACUCUCCCCCUCUUCCCUUCUCAAUCUGCUUACCGGAUCUGACCUCCCUUACUUUAACAUAUUUCGAUUUGAUGUUUNNN